Molecule: RNA transcript, 4136 nt
Organism: Andrographis paniculata
Lineage: Eukaryota; Viridiplantae; Streptophyta; Magnoliopsida; Lamiales; Acanthaceae
Gene name: cystathionine gamma-synthase 1, chloroplastic-like
Exons: 5
Source: RefSeq, a predicted model, not a curated record
AUGCUGCGAGCUUUCGAUUCGCCUCGUCGCAUUAGGGUUUGCUUAAUUCUCUCUCGAAUCUUCAGUUGUUCACCAGAAUUUACUUCUUCAAUCUCGGACUCGCCUGGGAGCUGGAAAAACCUAUCGAUUCCACAGGAAACUCGGCCGCACGAAGAUUUAUCUUUAUCUCCUCUGAAUUUCCGAGGCAUUGCCGAUUCCUUGAUAUCGAAGUGUUCAUAUACUGCGGAUUACAAUAGAUGUAAGUCAUUCACUGGAUUUUUACCGAAGGAUUACUUACUUGAACUCUCUUGUAUCUACCCUGACAUAAUCCGUCGAUUUUGGCGAAUUUCCGUGUGGCAACCUCAGGAUGUUCUUGAGAUAUUACUGGUGUUUGAAUCCGACGAGGUUAGGGCCAAAAAUGUUGAGUAUUUAUGGGGAAUUUUCAAUUGGGCGAGUGGACAGUCCGAGGGGUUUGAGCAUCUUCCUCAAUCAUGUAAGAUCAUGGCAUCGAUGCUUGCACGAGCGGGAUUUUUCAGUGAAACUGAGUCCUUGCUAUCGAGGAGGGAAAUGGAAGGAAAUUUUUUGGAUUGCAAGGAAAUUUUCGAUAGCUUGAUUAAAGGAUAUAUAGAGGAAUUUGAAUUAGACUCUGCUUUUUCAGUUUAUAUGAGAAUGAGGAGACUUUCAUUAGUUCCAUCAUUGUUAAGUUACAUUUCUCUCAUUAAGUAUUUGAUCGAGUUGAACGAUACUCGAACGUUGUAUCCGAUUUAUGUUGAUAUGAUAAUGAUGGGAAUGGGAAUGGGAGGAAGUGUAGAGGAGAAGAUGAUUCAUAAGAAUGUCAUUCGUCUGCUUUGCAUCGAUGGAAGAGUUCAGGAAUCGAGGGAUCUUGUUAAGGAGCUUGCAAAUUAUGGAAUCAAACCUAGCGAUUUUGUUAUUAGUGUGAUCAUUCGAGCUUAUUGUGCCAAGAAGGAUUAUGAUGAUGUGUUGGGUUUCUUGGCCGAAUUCAGGAUUUCGCCUGAAGUUGUGGUUGGAAACAAGAUUCUGUUCUCAAUGUGCAGGAAUUUCGGUGUUGAUCGAGCAAGUGUGUUCUUGGAGAAACUGGAGAGACUCGGUUUCUACCCUGAUGAAGUGUCGUUUGGGAUUUUGAUUGGAUUUUGUUGUUACGAGGGUAAACUAAAGCUUGCUUUCUUUUAUCUUUCAGAGAUUUUGUCAAGAGGGCUUAAGCCACAUGUGUGUUCGUAUAAUGCUCUAUUAAGUGCAAUAUUUGAGGAAGGCAUGCCGAUUCUGUCCCAAGAAAUAAUAGCUGAAAUGAAUGAUAUGGGAGUGUCGCCCUCGUUGGCUACCUUCAGAGUUCUGCUGGCUGGGUUUUGUAAAGCUCGAAAAUUUGACGAAGUGAAGGCAAUAGUCCAUGAGAUGGCGGACUGUAACUUAGUAACCCUCUCGUCGAUGGAAGAUCCAUUGAGCAAAGGAUUUGCCAUAUUGGGUCUCAAUCCUUUGGAUGUGAAAAUUAAGAGGGACAAUGACAAGGGACUUUCUAAGACUGAGUUUUACGAUGAUCUUGGGAACGGGUUGUAUUUAGAUACAAAUUUGGACAAAUUCGAUGAACAGAUCUCCCAGAUUCUUCGCGAAGCCAUGGUGCCUGAAAUGGGAAUUGAUGAAAUGGAAAGAUGGGGCCAAGAAAUGUCUCUUCCCGCACUGUCUUCUUUGCUCGGUGGCCUUUCUAAAGCUCCAUCGGGUGUUGAGAUCAUUAGCCAUCAUUUGGGGGCCAUGUUAAAAUCAAUUUAUGAUCUUGAUCGUAAGAGUUUAAAUGUGCUUGUUCGGACAUACAGCAAGAGGGGAUUUACUUUCAAAGCACGAGCACUUUUCGAUGGAAUGGUUAGAAGGGGUUGCAACAUUGAAUACGGUACAUACUCUAGUCUGUUGUUCGGUGCGUGCAAGAAUGUUGAUUUGAAAAGCUUCCAUUAUUUCCGUAAAAUUGCUCAAGAAUCCGCGUGGUCACCUGAUUUAAAAGAGGCUAACGCCCUUUUAACUUAUCUACUUCGGAACAAGUGGAUGAACGAGGCAUUGGAGCUUUUCGAGACCAUGCUAUUAAUCGCAGCUUCUUCUGAUGUAUCCGACAUUUUUCAAUCCUUACUCGAAAAGCUUUGUCGCCAUGGGUUCACUGAUACUGCUUCUGUUUUGCUCAACAAAUUCUCAAGUCGGGCCACCCUCUCGGAUCGCAUUGCUUACAGUCAUUUGGUCACUCGGUUUUGUCGGGACAAUAGAUUUCCUGAAGCCUUGAAAUUGUUCGAGACUAUGCUUUCCAUUAACUUAUCUCCAUCUUCGAGCUUGUAUGCCGAGUUGAUUUCUUGGCUCUGCCGGACCAACAACUUCAAGAAAGCUGUUGAAUUGAAAACUACAUGCUUGAGGGAUCAACCCUCUGCCGAACUUCUUAUAAACACAGCUUUGAUUAAGGGUUUCUGCAAGUCGAGAAGAGCUGAUGAAGCCGGUGCUCUAUUCACGACGUCUCUUCUAAAGGGCUUAUCUCCCGAUGAUGAGGUAUUCAACUCGUUAAUUGAAGGCUACUGUAGAGUGUAUAACUCGAACAAAGUUCGAGAGCUUCUGGGGUUUAUGAUAAGGAAGAAUCUGAGCAUAUUUGGAUCUAGCUAUAGCCAUGCCGCACGAUUGUUAUGCGCCGAAGGAAGGUUCGCUUUGGCGAUUCGUUUGAAAGAUCUCAUUCUUCGAGUAACUGAACUCCCGGAUCUCGUUCUGCAUAACGUUUUGAUAUUUCACCUUUCGUCGUCACGGGACAGUUCCUUAUUGGAUGUGGCAGUCGGAAUGGAAGGAAUCCUGUUUGAUGAUGUUACUUACAAUUUUGUCGUUCGGGGAUAUAUGAUGAGUAACGACAUCCCUCGAUCUCUUCACUAUCUGACAGCUAUGAUAAAGCAGGAUCUUAAACCGAGUAAUCGUGUCCUCAGGGAAUCGAUCCACUUUCUUUGCCGCAACGGCGAGAUUCAGCUCGCGUUGGAUUUGAGUCUGGAAAUGGAGUCUCAUGGUUGGGUUCACAGUUCGUCUGUUCAAACCAGCAUUGUCGAGGCACUUCUCAGCACCGGGAACCUGCAACAAGCAGUCGAGUUUCUAGACAGAAUGGCGUCGAAGGAUCUGAUUCCCAAAAAUGUACAAUACGAUCGUUUAAUCAAGGAGUUUUGUCGACACGGUCUGCUGGCGAAAUCCGUCGACCUUUUAAAUAUCAUGUUACAGAAGGGGAGUCGGCCUGCUUCCACCAGCUACGACUAUCUCAUCCAGGGCUUGUGCAGCGGCGGGAAAUUGAAUUUAGCACAAGAUUUUUACACGGAGAUGGUGUGUCGGGACAUGAAGCCGGGCAAGCAUACUGGGGAUAUUCUCGUUUGCAAGCUGUCUGAAUACGAUCGGAUUGGGGAAGCAGAGAAUGUGCUUAAAUCGAGGAUUCGGUUUGGGGAGAAGCCGAGCCAUGAGGCUUUCUGUGCAGUGAUCGAUGGGUAUCGGAGCAAGAAGAGCGUCGGGAAGACGACGGAGCUGGUGGAGGCGAUGCAGGAGAUGGGGUACCGGCCGGAUUUCGAUACACAUUGGGGUCUUGUGAGCAGUCUGAGUAGCAAAUGUAGCAAGAGGGAUGAGAGCAGUAAUUUUGUGGCAGGAAUUCUUUCUGGAUUUGGGUUGUCAAGGAAGACGUCGAGCUAACCUUAGGCUUAUGAUGGUGAGAAUGACAACAUUUCUAAGGGUGGAAUUUAUACACUUCCAAGCCAUUUAUCUGCUGGUGCUAGAGAUCUCAUUCCGAGGAUGCUUAUAGUUGAUCCCAUGAAGCGGAUGACUAUUCCUGAGAUACAUGCUCAUCCCUGGUUUCAAGCUCAUCUCCAGCGCUAUUUGGCUGUGCCACCACCGGAUACAGCCCAACUGGCAGAAAAGAUUGAUGAAGAGAUUCUUCAAGAGGUUGUUAAGAUGGGUUUUGGUCGGAAUGGUCUUGUCGAUUAGCUGCGAAGCAGGGUUCAGAAUGAGGAAUAUGGGUACAAUCGGACGAAUCCUAAUGAGACUAUAGCAUCUCCUGUUGGGCGGGCGAUAGAUUAUCCACAAUUUGGGGGGAGCAGGUAUCCGGUUGAUCGGAAAUGGGCACUUGGACUCCAGUCGCGAGCCCAUCCUCGAGAGAU